This is a small nucleolar RNA of Impatiens glandulifera, 218 nucleotides long. RefSeq annotates it as small nucleolar RNA U3. NCBI's taxonomy places the organism in Eukaryota, Viridiplantae, Streptophyta, Magnoliopsida, Ericales, Balsaminaceae. The transcript has a single exon. The record is from RefSeq and is a predicted model, not a curated record.
ACGACCUUACUUGAACAGGAUCUGUUCUAUAGGCUCGUACAUCUGUAUCCUUGAUUUCUAAGGAGACAGGAAUUUAUGUCUGGUUGAUGAGAUGUUGCCACUAGAUCAGAGCGUGAUUAACGGUGCUGUUGACCACCAGCUUUGGCUUGUGGUCACACUGCUGUAGAGGAUCAGGCUCACUUUCUUUUUUGCUACCCUGAUCCGGAGUAAGAUAAGCA